CUGUGCGUGCCCGCGCGCCUGCGCAUCAGGACGAGGGGACGGGUGGGGGGUGAAGAAGGGGCCGGCCUUCAAGCGACAGCGACGCAAGAUGGCAGCCACCACGGGCUCGGGAGUAAAAGUCCCUCGCAAUUUCCGACUGUUGGAAGAACUCGAAGAAGGCCAGAAAGGAGUAGGAGAUGGCACAGUUAGCUGGGGUCUAGAAGAUGACGAAGACAUGACACUUACAAGAUGGACAGGGAUGAUAAUUGGGCCUCCAAGAUUUCAGUUUAUAUAUUUGAACCUCCUCUGAUGCUGUUUAACCCCUCUAAAUGUGUUCCAGUGAAAUUACCAGAUGAACAUCAGUGCUUCCUCUUCAGGUCACUAGGAGCCAUCAGAGGGUUAAGCCAAUAGAGACAGCUUCCUGUUUUUAAGAGGUCAGUCUGGCUGCUGUGCCGGAAGCAAGAGAGAAAGAGUCUUGGGGGAGUUCCGAAGAGGUGACGGUGGUGGAGGAAAGGGGAGUCAUACCGGGUAUCUUUCGGAGACAAUUUAUGAAAACCGAAUAUACAGCCUUAAAAUAGAAUGUGGACCUAAAUACCCAGAAGCACCCCCCUUUGUAAGAUUUGUAACAAAAAUUAAUAUGAAUGGAGUUAAUAGUUCUAAUGGAGUGGUGGACCCAAGAGCCAUAUCAGUGCUAGCAAAAUGGCAGAAUUCAUAUAGCAUCAAAGUUGUCCUGCAAGAGCUUCGGCGCCUAAUGAUGUCUAAAGAAAAUAUGAAACUCCCUCAGCCGCCUGAAGGACAGUGUUACAGCAAUUAAUCAAAAAGAAAAACCACAGGCCCUUCCCUUCCCCCCCAUUCAAUUUAAGCAGUCUUCAUUUUCCACAGUAGUAAAUUUUCUAGAUACGUCUUGUAGACCUCAAAGUACUGGAAAGGAAGCUCCCAUUCAAAGGAAAUUUAUCUUAAGAUACUGUAAAUGAUACUAACUUUUUGUCCAUUUGAAAUAUAUAAGUUGUGCUAUAACAAAUCAUCCUGUCAAGUGUAACCACUGUCCACGUAGUUGAACUUCUGGGAUCAAGAAAGUCUAUUUAAAUUGAUUCCCAUCAUAACUGGUGGGGCACAUCUAACUCAACUGUGAAAAGACACAUCACACAAUCACCUUGCUGCUGAUUACACGGCCUGGGGUCUCUGCCUUCUCUCCUCACCCUCCUGCCUCCCACCCUCCCUGCAACAACAGCCCUCUAGCCUGGAGGGCUUGUCAGAGUAGCUGUGAAGGUUUCAGGUCGCAGCCUGUGGGACUACUGCUGGGUGUGUGGGGUGCUUUGCCUGCACCCCUGGUUUCUUUAAGUCUUAAAUGAUGCCCCUUCCAAGCCAUCAUCCUGUCCCCACGCUCCUCCACUCCUGCCCUUGGCCGAAGCAUAGAUUGUAACCCCUCCGCUCCCCUCUGAGAUUGGCCUUCGGUGAGGAAUUCAGGGCUUUCCCCAUACCUUCUCUCCCCCACCUUUAUCGAGGGGUGCUGCUUUUUCUUCCCUCCUCCUGAAGUUCCUUUUUGCCCCAUCACCACCCAACACGUUCCAUGACACUUCCUUGCUUUGGCCAGAAGCCACGAGGUAAAGUUGGAAAGAGUCUCUCACCACCCUUGUUUAGUUUCAGAACCAUACUUUUUCACUCUCCACCAGCCUGGGAAAUGAAUAGUGGGUCCUCAGCCCUGCCACCCUCUGCUGUCAUCAGCUGAUGCGUUGUUUUUAGCUCAGGUUUUGAUAAGGUGAAAAGAAUAGUCACCAGGGCCACUCAGACCUGCCAGCUCUCAGAGUCCUUGGUGGUUGAACUCGGAGAAAGACCACAUGAAGACACUUGUAAGCACACAUGAUCCCUCUGAAUUGUUUUACUUUACUGUAAUUGCUUUUGCUUUUAAAAAUUGAAGAAGUUUUAAACAGGGCUUUCAUUUGGCCAUCCUUGCAAUCCAUUGGGGUCUAGUUUGGAAUCUGACAACUGGAACAAAAAGAACCUUGAAUCCGGUGCAUGCCUUGGUUUUGGUGCUGCUGCUUCUCAAGAUCCUCAGCAGGGAUUAAGAAAGAACCCGGUGUGCACAGCAGAUCCCCGAAAUUGGCGGGCUUGACCUCCUGGCAAAUUGCUGCGUCUUUCCACUUUCUGUUCAGGACCACUAAAUGCUGAAAUGUGGAUGCAUACCGAAAUAAAAGCAAUUCAUUGUGUACUAAAGGUUUUUUUAAUUUAGUAUUUGUGUAAACCACCUUUUGGAGCAGCAACUAUCAAGUCUGAAAAGCAAUUGAUGUUUCCAUUGAUCUUUUUCCGGGGGAAAACCUUAGUUCUGAGGAUUUAACAUCCUGUAAGUGAAAUUUAACAUAACAGUAUUCCAUAAGCAGCCUUUUUAUUGUCAGACCAUUGCCUGAUUUUAAUAUAAUAAAAAAAAAAAGUGUGCGUUAAUAUUUAA
Molecule: RNA transcript, 2425 nt
Organism: Cebus imitator (Panamanian white-faced capuchin)
Lineage: Eukaryota; Metazoa; Chordata; Mammalia; Primates; Cebidae
Gene: UBE2V1
Gene name: ubiquitin conjugating enzyme E2 V1
Exons: 7
Source: RefSeq, a predicted model, not a curated record